RNAcentral lists this ribosomal RNA (401 nucleotides) under uncultured Shinella sp. RNAcentral describes it as "bacterial SSU rRNA". It matches the Rfam family "Bacterial small subunit ribosomal RNA", at positions 355 to 773 of the family's 1533-position model. The record is from RNAcentral. Lineage: Bacteria; Pseudomonadati; Pseudomonadota; Alphaproteobacteria; Hyphomicrobiales; Rhizobiaceae.
UGGGGAAUAUUGGACAAUGGGCGCAAGCCUGAUCCAGCCAUGCCGCGUGAGUGAUGAAGGCCCUAGGGUUGUAAAGCUCUUUCACCGGUGAAGAUAAUGACGGUAACCGGAGAAGAAGCCCCGGCUAACUUCGUACCAGCAGCCGCGGUAAUACGAAGGGGGCUAGCGUUGUUCGGAAUUACUGGGCGUAAAGCGCACGUAGGCGGACAUUUAAGUCAGGGGUGAAAUCCCAGAGCUCAACUCUGGAACUGCCUUGGAUACUGGGUGUCUUGAGUAUGGAAGAGGUAAGUGUACUUCCGGGUGUAGAGGUGAAUUCCGUAGAUAUUCGGAGGAACACCAGUGGCGAAGGCGGCUUACUGGUGCAUUACUGACGCUGGGGUGCGAAAGCGUGGGGAGCAAAC